CCAACGGCUCUUUUAAGAGCCACUCACAACCACUGACAGAGCAACU
Molecule: non-coding RNA, 46 nt
Filed under: Xyrichtys novacula (pearly razorfish)
Lineage: Eukaryota; Metazoa; Chordata; Actinopteri; Labriformes; Labridae
Rfam family: Histone 3' UTR stem-loop
About the family: The mRNAs of metazoan histone genes lack a poly-A tail.
Source: RNAcentral